This 918-nucleotide ribosomal RNA is filed under the name human gut metagenome. RNAcentral describes it as "bacterial SSU rRNA". It matches the Rfam family "Bacterial small subunit ribosomal RNA", at positions 606 to 1520 of the family's 1533-position model. The record is from RNAcentral.
CGCUUAACGGUGGAUCCGCGCCGGGUACGGGCGGGCUUGAGUGCGGUAGGGGAGACUGGAAUUCCCGGUGUAACGGUGGAAUGUGUAGAUAUCGGGAAGAACACCAAUGGCGAAGGCAGGUCUCUGGGCCGUCACUGACGCUGAGGAGCGAAAGCGUGGGGAGCGAACAGGAUUAGAUACCCUGGUAGUCCACGCCGUAAACGGUGGAUGCUGGAUGUGGGGACCAUUCCACGGUCUCCGUGUCGGAGCCAACGCGUUAAGCAUCCCGCCUGGGGAGUACGGCCGCAAGGCUAAAACUCAAAGAAAUUGACGGGGGCCCGCACAAGCGGCGGAGCAUGCGGAUUAAUUCGAUGCAACGCGAAGAACCUUACCUGGGCUUGACAUGUUCCCGACAGCCGUAGAGAUACGGUCUCCCUUCGGGGCGGGUUCACAGGUGGUGCAUGGUCGUCGUCAGCUCGUGUCGUGAGAUGUUGGGUUAAGUCCCGCAACGAGCGCAACCCUCGCCCUGUGUUGCCAGCACGUCGUGGUGGGAACUCACGGGGGACCGCCGGGGUCAACUCGGAGGAAGGUGGGGAUGACGUCAGAUCAUCAUGCCCCUUACGUCCAGGGCUUCACGCAUGCUACAAUGGCCGGUACAACGGGAUGCGACACCGCGAGGUGGAGCGGAUCCCUUAAAACCGGUCUCAGUUCGGAUUGGAGUCUGCAACCCGACUCCAUGAAGGCGGAGUCGCUAGUAAUCGCGGAUCAGCAACGCCGCGGUGAAUGCGUUCCCGGGCCUUGUACACACCGCCCGUCAAGUCAUGAAAGUGGGUAGCACCCGAAGCCGGUGGCCCAACCUUUUGGGGGGGAGCCGUCUAAGGUGAGACUCGUGAUUGGGACUAAGUCGUAACAAGGUAGCCGUACCGGAAGGUGCGGCUG